This 819-nucleotide ribosomal RNA is filed under the name Triticum aestivum (bread wheat). RNAcentral's name for it is "partial small subunit ribosomal RNA". Lineage: Eukaryota; Viridiplantae; Streptophyta; Magnoliopsida; Poales; Poaceae. The record is from RNAcentral.
AUGUUUACUUUUCAUCAGAAAUCAGGUCACAAGAAAGCUCUGGAUGAUGGUCCAUGGAUGUUUGGGAACUCAUUACUAGUGCUGGAGGAGUAUGAUCCUAAUAAGAGUAUAAAGGAAUAUGAAUUUAAGAGGUUUCUGGUCUGGGUCUGAGUCUUUGAUCUGCCUUUGGGGCUAAUGUGCCAUGAUGCUGGACUUGCCAUCGGAGAUAUAAUUGAUGAAGCUCUAAAGGUUGAUGCCAGGUCUAACGGUAUGGCAGUGGGCAAGUUCUUAAGGAUCAAAAUUCACAUGGACAUUUCUAAUCCAAUAAUGAGGGGCUUUGUCCUUGACAUGGACGAUGAGAAGGAGAAGGGAGAGAAGCCCCUAACUGAGGAGGAACGAAAUAAGAGGAUGGAGGACAAUUGGUGCCGUUUUGAAUAUGAGUUCAUGCCAGGUUUUUGCUACACAUGUGGGAUGCUCGAUCACGUGGGUAAGGAAUGUUCCAUAAGGCUCAAGAGGGGAGAGGAGAAGCAAUUCGGUCCUUGGCUCAAGGCACAUAUACCUAGGUAUACAAAUGAUAAUGGUAGGGGUAGCUGGAACGAAGACCACAGCAUGUUCUCUGGGCAUAGUAGUGGAAGCGGAAGGAACCUCAACCUGGGCUAUACAAAGGGGAAAUCAGGGAGCGAUAGCGAGAACCGGGGGAAGGACAAACUGGGUGUAGGGCAUCAGCCUACGUAUAAAGUAAGUCAUGACCAGGAGGUGACUAGUCCCUUAAAAAAGCAAAAUAGAGGCACAAGCAGAAGAAGGGAAGAUCAUGGCAGAAGGAAGAGAGGGACUGGAUGA